UACGGAAGGCAGCAGUGGGGAAUAUUGCACAAUGGGCGAAAGCCUGAUGCAGCUAUGCCGCGUGUAUGAAGAAGGCCUUAGGGUUGUAAAGUACUUUCAUCGGGGAGGAAAAAACAAAACUAAUAAUUUUAUUUCUUGACGUUACCCGAAAAAGAAGCACCGGCUAACUCCGUGCCAGCAGCCGCGGUAAUACGGAGGGUGCUAGCGUUAAUCAGAAUUACUGGGCGUAAAGAGCACGUAGGUGGUUUUUUUUAAAGUCAGAUGUGAAAUCCCUGGGCUUAACCUAGGAACUGCAUUUUGAAACUGAAAUACUAGAGUAUCGUAGAGGGAGGUAGAAUUCUAGGUGUAGCGGUGAAAUGCGUAGAUAUCUGGAGGAAUACCUGUGGCGAAAGCGGCCUCCUAAACGAAUACUGACACUGAGGUGCGAAAGCGUGGGGAGCAAACAGGGAUUAGAUACC
Molecule: ribosomal RNA, 458 nt
Filed under: uncultured bacterium
Lineage: Bacteria
Description: bacterial SSU rRNA
Rfam family: Bacterial small subunit ribosomal RNA
Source: RNAcentral